This 512-nucleotide ribosomal RNA is filed under the name uncultured Glomeromycotina. Its description in RNAcentral is "partial small subunit ribosomal RNA". It matches the Rfam family "Eukaryotic small subunit ribosomal RNA", at positions 591 to 1092 of the family's 1831-position model. The record is from RNAcentral. Lineage: Eukaryota; Fungi; Glomeromycota.
CCAAUAGCGUAUAUUAAAUUUGUUGUAGUUAAAAAGCUCGUAGUAGAACUUUGGGCGUGGCCGGGCGGUCCGCUGCUUCGGCGGCGAGUACUGCCUACAGCGCCGCGCCUUUCCUCCUGGGGACACGCGGGCUGGCUGCUUUCGGGCGGCCGGCGCGCGGGCAGCCAGGACGUUUACCUUGAAAAAAUUAGAGUGUUCAAAGCAGGCGCACGCUUGCAUAGAUUAGCAUGGAAUAAUGGAAUAGGACCGGUGGUUCUGUUGCGUUGGUUUCUUGGAACCGCGGUAAUGAUGAACAGGGACAGUUGGGGGCAUUCGUAUUUCGCAGCUAGAGGUGAAAUUCUUGGAUUUGCGAAAGACGAACCUAUGCGAAAGCAUUUGCCAAGGAUGUUUUCAUUGAUCAAGAACGAAAGUUAGGGGAUCGAAGACGAUUAGAUACCGUCGUAGUCUUAACCAUAAACGAUGCCGACUAGGGAUCAGGCGAUGUUGCUUUCUGACUCGCCUGGCACCUUCAG